RNAcentral lists this small RNA (1133 nucleotides) under Cryptococcus neoformans H99. Its description in RNAcentral is "Cryptococcus neoformans var. grubii H99 hypothetical RNA". Lineage: Eukaryota; Fungi; Basidiomycota; Tremellomycetes; Tremellales; Cryptococcaceae. The record is from RNAcentral.
UCACCACUCUCGUCCCUUCAUUAAAUAUUCCUCUUUCACAGCCUAUCUCGACUUUGAACUACCGACUAGCAAUGACGACGUGUGGGAAUGAAGACGCUAUUUCUAGAAGCCAAGGGUACUCCAUUUUGCACCGUUCCAGUAUCAUAAAGCCACAUCGAACCAACCGUAUCUGUAUCCAGUAUUCUUAAAAGCAUGGAUGAAGAGCUGGAUGUAAACAUAGAAAUCUGAUCUGGUUAUCUGUUUGUCUACCAUUACCGAAUACCACCCCAGAGGAUGCAUCACUGCGGCUGUGAAGCUUCAAACCCCAGGAUGGCAUGGCGAAUUUAUGUAUAUGGAAAUUGAACUCUCCGAAUACACGUUCCCAGCCGACUUGUGUUUCCACAGCCGACUUGCAUUUCCACAACGCAAUAGAUCGAAAAGAAUAUUGAGAAGUCUCACGGCAGUUCGUCUAUCUCGCAUACUACCCUUCUCCCUGUAUCACCUUCGCAAGUGUGUGCCAUCACCAUUCUAAAGAUGGAUGAGGUCUCAAACCAGCGUUGCUCAUUGGGGUGAAGUAGGGGUCGUUUGAGCGCUACUUUUUUACCUGACCUUGCAGCGAUGCUUACCAACGUCUCUCGACUUUUCUCUGCCACUUUCUUUUGCCAGCUCUAUUCAUCCUUGACGUCGCAUCUUGCUUUCUACUCCCGUUUGGAAUCUUUUUACCUGGGCGCAACUAUUCCACUCAACGUUAAAAGGAUAAUUUUGAGGGAUUGAUGAGGAGAGAUGAAAGUCUGGAACACGCAACGAGCGCAAACACUCGCAGAGGAGAGACGAAUGAGUAUAUCAGCUGGAUGACAGGAAGAAUUCGGCCAUUCGUUUAUGUCUGCUCUAUGCACUGCGUCCUGCGGCCUGAACUGUUAAGCAAGAUGGGACCUCUGUGUUGCUCUUCUCGUCUGACAUAACGCUAUCUGUCAUGUAGCAUCAAACAGUUGGGGGAGAGAAUCAUGGACAUGAUUCCCGAUUAGGAUUCGGGCCGCGUUGGAAGUAGUUUUGUGUUUGCCAAUCAGAAGUUGGGAUAGGAUGGAGGGAAGCAUCAACCUUAUUAAAUGUAUAUUUUAUAUUCUAUUGAUGAUGAUGUCAAUUUGGAUCUGACC